UCCACAGGUCCUAUAGGACAGGACAGGGCUGGGUUUAUCCACAGGUCCUAUAUGACAGGGCAGGGCUGGGUUUAUCCACAGGUCCUAUAUGACAGGGCUGGGUUUAUCCACAGGUCCUAUAGGACAGGGCUGGGUUUAUCCACAGGUCCAAUAUGACAGGGCUGGGUUUAUCCACAGGUCCUAUAGGACAGGGCUGGGUUUAUCCACAGGUCCUAUAGGACAGGGCUGGGUUUAUCCACAGGUCCUAUAGGACAGGGCUGGGUUUAUCCACAGGUCCUAUAGGACAGGGCAAGGCUGGGUUUAUCCACAGGUCCUAUAUGACAGGGCAGGGCUGGGUUUAUCCACAGGUCCUAUAUGACAGGGCAGGGCUGGGUUUAUCCACAGGUCCUAUAGGACAGGGCAGGGCUGGGUUUAUCCACAGGUCCUAUAUGACAGGGCAGGGCUGGGUUUAUCCACAGGUCCUAUAGGACAGGGCUGGGUUUAUCCACAGGUCCUAUAGGACAGGGCUGGGUUUAUCCACAGGUCCUAUAGGACAGGGCUGGGUUUAUCCACAGGUCCUAUAGGACAGGGCUGGGUUUAUCCACAGGUCCUAUAUGACAGGGCAGGGCUGGGUUUAUCCACAGGUCCUAUAGGACAGGGCAGGGCUGGGUUUAUCCACAGGUCCUAUAGGACAGGGCAGGGCUGGGUUUAUCCACAGGUCCUAUAGGACAGGGCAGGGCUGGGUUUAUCCACAGGUCCUAUAGGACAGGGCAGGGCUGGGUUUAUCCACAGGUCCUAUAGGACAGGGCUGGGUUUAUCCACAGGUCCUAUAGGACAGGGCAGGGUUUAUCCACAGGUCCUAUAGGACAGGGCAGGGUUUAUCCACAGGUCCUAUAGGACAGGGCAGGGCUGGGUUUAUCCACAGGUCCUAUAGGACAGGGCUGGGUUUAUCCACAGGUCCUAUAGGACAGGGCAGGGCUGGGUUUAUCCACAGGUCCUAUAGGACAGGGCAGGGCUGGGUUUAUCCACAGGUCCUAUAGGACAGGGCUGGGUUUAUCCACAGGUCCUAUAGGACAGGGAAAGGAAGUGCUCAUUUCUUCUUGGUGGCUCUCUUUC
Molecule: long non-coding RNA, 1095 nt
Organism: Oncorhynchus keta (chum salmon)
Lineage: Eukaryota; Metazoa; Chordata; Actinopteri; Salmoniformes; Salmonidae
Exons: 11
Source: RefSeq, a predicted model, not a curated record